Molecule: non-coding RNA, 25 nt
Filed under: Rattus norvegicus (Norway rat)
Lineage: Eukaryota; Metazoa; Chordata; Mammalia; Rodentia; Muridae
Source: RNAcentral
UGACUCGCCACUUGAUACUCUAUGA